CACACAGACAGCUAUAAAAUUGUAUCAAAGUUGUCAGAGGAAUGGAAAUGAACAUUGGCAGCAAUGUCCUCCAAAGAGUAUUCCAUGGGCUUUCACAUGCGUGGCAACUUGUUGCUGAGCACAACCAAAAGAUGCAUCCGGAAAACAUUUAAGAAUCAAAUAUUGUGCAACAGGCACUUUCUCCGUAGAUAGUCUGCAACUCAAUCCUAUGCAUGCUUACUCAGAGGAAAAGCAGGCGAGGGAGAGAGAGAAAGCGAGCAGGAUAAUGGAUUAAGCUGCGAGUGGAUUCCGACGACUCAGCCUCUAAGAAUGAAUAUAACCGGGGGAAGCCAAGAGGGCGCCACAGAUGCCUUACCUUGUAA
This is a long non-coding RNA of Hemicordylus capensis (graceful crag lizard), 362 nucleotides long. RefSeq lists it as uncharacterized. Lineage: Eukaryota; Metazoa; Chordata; Lepidosauria; Squamata; Cordylidae. The record is from RefSeq and is a predicted model, not a curated record. The transcript has 3 exons.